Ceratotherium simum simum (southern white rhinoceros) is the source of this 177-nucleotide non-coding RNA. The record is from RefSeq and is a predicted model, not a curated record. NCBI's taxonomy places the organism in Eukaryota, Metazoa, Chordata, Mammalia, Perissodactyla, Rhinocerotidae.
UUGAGCUAUAUUUUGUUUUUAAUGUUUCAGAUCCUUAUUAUCUGUCAUAAUCUAAAUUAAGGUUUACACUUUUUUAAAGAAACAUUUGUGUUAUGAAAGAUUUGUUUUAAUAUCCCUUCAGGUACAAAAUAUGUCAUAUCUUUCCACUGAUUCUUUUGACUGUUGGUUUAAGUUAUU